UGAUAUAUGAAUGUAAACAUUGUUGUUAAAUGGUUGCACGGAUGACGCAUCUUUCAUCUAUCAGAUCUGUUUAUGGGUUGUGUAAAUAUUGUUUUACGAAUGCGUUCGAUACCUUGGUGAUCAGUAUAAACUUUGAAAAUUUAAACUUUUGUUUAUAACUUAUUAUGUAGUGCAUAUGCAUGGACCCCAAUGAUGUACCCUUAUGUGAUAAACUGCAUGGCUUUCUUUUAUUAAAUUGUUUGUUGAGUAGAAUGUAGGUCUUUCGUGUACGGAAAGGACAUAUCAUCCCUUUCUUUGUUCGCACUGGUUUAUAAUUUAUCAAUGUAUGUGCGUGCAUGUUCUUAGCUCAAUCAUAUUUGUGAAUGCAUUGUUUUCGUCCAGCUUUUUAUAAAUUAUUUCAGUUAUCUUCACGAAAUGGAAAGGAUGAUUUCCCACACGAAAUUUGAUCAGCUUGCUUUUCAAUAUUUCUAUUCUCAUCGUUGAAAUGUGGUGAAUUUGAGGAAUUAUGAUCAAUAUUUCACUGUUUUUGUUUAAAUGAAUGGUUACUUCUACAAGUAUGCUUGAAAUCGUCUCUGAUUAUUGACCGUCAUGUCAAUGAUUGUUCCGGUAAUGUUUAUUACAAUUUGUCAGUUGUAUUGGCAGUAUAAACACUGGAGUCAAUCUGUCCCCCCAAUAACACUUUCAUACAAUAGAUUUCUAUUUAUAUUUAGGUGGCCUUCGGGUGGAUGUUAUCAUUCACUGUCAUGUUUUUGGGUGUUUGAUGAUAAAAUGUAACCGACUGUGAUGUAAAGUUGUUUAACAUGUAAUUAUUGAGUCUCCAAGCUGUGUUGAUCCAGUUAAUCCCUUGUUUUAAUCCCCCGUUUACCUACAUUUUUACAUUAAAAAGUCAACAUGACCGAGAAUACGUUUUUACUUGUCAGUCAGAUUGACAUUUCGAAUGCAGUUACGGGAAUAUUGAUAAAGGGAGCGGGGUGCACCCUGGAAAAGAGGGAUGCACAAAAUAAAACCGGUCUCGACAAAAAGGGAAAUACCCAUAUUCGUCCUUGCAUUUUAGUCCGUGUUCGUCCUUGUCAUUAUUCACAAUAUAGAUACAUGCAAUUUAAUACAGUUGUUAAUAAGUCAUUUUAACGGUACAAGGUAUUAACCUACAACAGGGGUGUAGUAGUGUAAACGUCCUUAUAAGACACAUAUAGUUAAAUACCCGCAAAAUUUGUUUCGGUAUGACCAUAAAUGAUUGUUCUUUUUAGGAGGGGGGGGGGGUCAUUUUUGUCUGGAACGUUGUUGGAUGAAAUUAUAAAGACUUUGGGGACAAUAGAACAGGCAUUGGAGGUCACGUCAGAACAGAUUUUGAAGGAAUUUAUUCUGUUUAGGAAUGUUUUAGGAACUGGGUUUGCUAUCUUGAACCAUCAUAAUGGUUUACUAACACUAAGUAAAUAUCUAUAGUGCUAGUAGUAUCAACUUAUACCAAGCCACGCCAGUAAGCUAAUAUAUUAUAGAAUAGUAUUUUAAAUAAUGAACUGGGUGGGGGGGGGCAACCCCUAUAAAAUCUUUUAUGAUAUUAAAAAAAAAAUAAGAUUGUAUCUGGAUUAUCAGUGACGCAAUAAAACAAUUCCUUCUAAAUAAUUCAUGAAUUAAUUGGCAACUUUAGAUAGAUUAACGCCCUGCCCUUGGGUCGCACUGGAUAACACCAGGCAUAAAAAGUGAAAUAGUUUUCUUCGGGAUUUGCAUACGCGUUAUAUUUGAACUAAAUGGUCCGGUAUAUUGAAAUACAACAAUGGGGGUAGACUGAAAUUUCUUAUUCUACAACGUGGCGUUGACAAAUUCGAAAUAUUAGUGCCAAUGAAGCGGGUUGUCUCAGUACCCGGUUUGGCUCUGUUAUUUGUGCAUCAGUUAUAUAUCUAAUUGGUUCCUCGUUUCCAUAUAUAUUGUAGAUCAUUUUGUAUAAUAGCAGAGGAUUGAUUUAUAAUAUCGCUUCAUUUAUUUCAACGCCUUUGGGGAUCACUCUGCUAGAGAGAGUUUUAACAAUCAAACUGUUUAUUAUUCAUAUUAUUAUUUUCCUGCAGCUAGUCCUACGGUAGCCGCAAAAGGUAUUUUUUUUUAAAAAAAAAUGUUUAAGUUUCAACACUUACUUCUUUGAACAUAUUUCAUUAAUUCGGAAAGCAGAUAUUUUUAAUAACCCGAGAUGGUAUGCCUGGGUAUUAUUUUAUUAUGCGUCAUAAUAAUUUGAUAAUUAUUGUAUUUUCUUACAACCGCUUUUAUGUGUUGCAUGUACACUAAGAAUGAAUUGCGGUAGGCUUGUGUAUUUAUUUCCGGCUAUCUGAACAUCUGCGGUUAACCUUGUUUAUUUAAUGCUCUAAUUUAUUUUUCAGCAUGAAAACUGUUCAGAAUAUAUUAAUAUAUGUGUUCAAUAUCUAAAACGUUGUAUAUCUGUUAUUGUCGUUUAACAUUUUAGAAGGUCCUUUCUAUAUAAUAUCCAUAUGUUCUUAAGUCUGUUACGCACAGUAAUACAAUGUUACUAGAUGAUGACUGACAGCUGCGUCAGAUGCAUAUAAUACAGUUAGUAGACCCAGUAACUAUAAUACACGGUAAUGCCAUUAGUAGACCAAUAACUAUGAUACAUGAUAAUACCGACCCAAUAACUAUAAUACAUGAUAGUACCAUUAAGUAGACCCAAUAACCAUAAUUCAUGAUAAUACCAUUAGUAGACUCAUUAACUAUGAUAAUACCAAUGGCUAAAUAUAAAAAUAUGAAGAGGUCAUGGCCCUGUGUGUAAUACGGAAAGAAAAUAUCUUAAAUAUUCCGCUAAUAUACCUUUAAUGUACUUUCAGAGGAAAUAGAUCAAAGUGAUAACAAAUUUGAAGAUGAACAACUACACGACUAUCCUGUUUAACAUGACGACGUCGCAAACUACGACGGACCUAAUUAACACUACGACAACAUCUACAGAGGUUUUGCCCGAGGCUAUGAACGACAUUACUUUCGACAGCGGAGUAACUUCGGCUGAAUUAGUCGUCAUCGGUGCAGGCAUAACAGUAGGAAUAUUAGCGGUUAGCGCCAUCUUAUUACGUUUAAUCAUGCCUUUAGUGAGAAAAUCUUAUCACAAGAAUCGGAUGCCGAGUAAAGAACCCAUUGAAGACGACAAAAACAGGCAUUUAUUUGCACCAAGUACACCCACCUCGAUGAUGUCAAGAUCUUCUCGAUCAUCUAGUCGUACUGGUGAAUGGUCGGAUAGUGGUAGCGAUAGGACCAAGACUACAUAUGCGUCAGAGGCUAAUUUAAUCCCCCAAAAUUCUUCUUACGGCAAUUUACGGGCGCAAAAACUGGUCUAUCCCAUGUAUUUACCUGAAUCAAAUUCUGCUUCAAUUGCUGAUGCCGACAGAUUGAACGACGAUUUGAUAUCUGUUAUAUCAACUAAUACUUUAGAAGCAGCUAACUUUGGAGACGCGUACAGACAAAACUGGGAUCAAACCUUCGAUCCUUAUUUACAGAAUGACUCAAGUUUAAGCUACAUUUCCCAUCCAUCAGAAAACCGUAAAAUACCCGAUAAAACUAAUGAAUGGUAUGCCUCUGAAAGCCCCAUGAGAAGAGACUGGGAACGAAGUCAAAUGAAUGGUGAGAUGUACAGACAUGACAUUAUGCCAACUAAACUGACAAAAUUAUGAAAUCAAUAGAGAAACCUAUAAUCAUUUUAUUGAAUGUCCCCAUCAUUCUCUUCUCCGGACCUCCAUUGCAAUCGUUCGACAAAUCAUGUGAUAUCAUUGAUUGCAAUUAUGCUCUUCGAUUAUUGAAGACUAUUACUUCUGAUAAGAAGUAUUAAAUAUUUUCGCGUGUCUUGGAUUAUCAUCCAGUAAGAGAGACGGUAUUCCUGCCUUUGUAAAUAAUUCACAAAUAAUUCCCCUUAGUUAAAUCCAUAUCCCGCUAAAGAGUAGUCAACCAUCUGUGUUCAUAAGAAUUCCAAGCAGUCUAUAUGUGAUGCUAUGUUAGUAUUUUCAUUCCUUAAAUCAUUCUGCACAAUUUUCAAUCCUCAAAUUAAAUACAGACUUUAAUCACAUAAAGCUUACACUCUCACCAAUGAACACACAUGCAAUAUAUACCCAAUCCGACCCCUUUUGUCACCUAAAUAAAAGCAUAAAAGCGGUUUGGCUGUAAUAAAUCAUUUCCAAAAUGCCAAUUUAGUGCUUGAACAUAUUAUAUAUAUAUUGUCACCAAGUUUAAGUUAUUAUAUAUCCCCCCCCCCCAAAUGCUUAUAUCCCAGUGCUCUGCUAUGUGAUAUUGUUAUAAAGUUCUUUAUAUAGUUAUUAUGUAAAUAAACGAUUUGUUAAAAAUUUA
Patella vulgata (common limpet) is the source of this 4329-nucleotide long non-coding RNA. RefSeq lists it as uncharacterized. The transcript has 6 exons. NCBI's taxonomy places the organism in Eukaryota, Metazoa, Mollusca, Gastropoda, Patellidae. The record is from RefSeq and is a predicted model, not a curated record.